Vicia faba (fava bean) is the source of this 222-nucleotide non-coding RNA. The record is from the annotation of a GenBank genome assembly. NCBI's taxonomy places the organism in Eukaryota, Viridiplantae, Streptophyta, Magnoliopsida, Fabales, Fabaceae.
AUGUGCAACUUGGUAUUUGGCAGCUGGCUUGGCCUUGACUACAACUUGGCAGCAUGUUUCAUUUUAGCAGCAGGCUUAGCCUUAGCAGUUGGCUUGGUUUUCGCAGCCGGAUUGGGCUUGGAAGCAGCAUGCUUCUUACUUCUGGUUUUCUGUUUUCACGGGUUUGGUUGUGAAUUGUUUCCUGAACCGAACUUGCAUUGCAGGGCUGGCUUUAAUGGUUGA